Molecule: ribosomal RNA, 2733 nt
Filed under: Escherichia coli
Lineage: Bacteria; Pseudomonadati; Pseudomonadota; Gammaproteobacteria; Enterobacterales; Enterobacteriaceae
Description: partial 23S ribosomal RNA
Rfam family: Bacterial large subunit ribosomal RNA
Source: RNAcentral
CAUAGGUUAAUGAGGCGAACCGGGGGAACUGAAACAUCUAAGUACCCCGAGGAAAAGAAAUCAACCGAGAUUCCCCCAGUAGCGGCGAGCGAACGGGGAGCAGCCCAGAGCCUGAAUCAGUGUGUGUGUUAGUGGAAGCGUCUGGAAAGGCGCGCGAUACAGGGUGACAGCCCCGUACACAAAAAUGCACAUACUGUGAGCUCGAUGAGUAGGGCGGGACACGUGGUAUCCUGUCUGAAUAUGGGGGGACCAUCCUCCAAGGCUAAAUACUCCUGACUGACCGAUAGUGAACCAGUACCGUGAGGGAAAGGCGAAAAGAACCCCGGCGAGGGGAGUGAAAAAGAACCUGAAACCGUGUACGUACAAGCAGUGGGAGCACGCUUAGGCGUGUGACUGCGUACCUUUUGUAUAAUGGGUCAGCGACUUAUAUUCUGUAGCAAGGUUAACCGAAUAGGGGAGCCGAAGGGAAACCGAGUCUUAACUGGGCGUUAAGUUGCAGGGUAUAGACCCGAAACCCGGUGAUCUAGCCAUGGGCAGGUUGAAGGUUGGGUAACACUAACUGGAGGACCGAACCGACUAAUGUUGAAAAAUUAGCGGAUGACUUGUGGCUGGGGGUGAAAGGCCAAUCAAACCGGGAGAUAGCUGGUUCUCCCCGAAAGCUAUUUAGGUAGCGCCUCGUGAAUUCAUCUCCGGGGGUAGAGCACUGUUUCGGCAAGGGGGUCAUCCCGACUUACCAACCCGAUGCAAACUGCGAAUACCGGAGAAUGUUAUCACGGGAGACACACGGCGGGUGCUAACGUCCGUCGUGAAGAGGGAAACAACCCAGACCGCCAGCUAAGGUCCCAAAGUCAUGGUUAAGUGGGAAACGAUGUGGGAAGGCCCAGACAGCCAGGAUGUUGGCUUAGAAGCAGCCAUCAUUUAAAGAAAGCGUAAUAGCUCACUGGUCGAGUCGGCCUGCGCGGAAGAUGUAACGGGGCUAAACCAUGCACCGAAGCUGCGGCAGCGACGCUGAUGCGUUGUUGGGUAGGGGAGCGUUCUGUAAGCCUGUGAAGGUGUGCUGUGAGGCAUGCUGGAGGUAUCAGAAGUGCGAAUGCUGACAUAAGUAACGAUAAAGCGGGUGAAAAGCCCGCUCGCCGGAAGACCAAGGGUUCCUGUCCAACGUUAAUCGGGGCAGGGUGAGUCGACCCCUAAGGCGAGGCCGAAAGGCGUAGUCGAUGGGAAACAGGUUAAUAUUCCUGUACUUGGUGUUACUGCGAAGGGGGGACGGAGAAGGCUAUGUUGGCCGGGCGACGGUUGUCCCGGUUUAAGCGUGUAGGCUGGUUUUCCAGGCAAAUCCGGAAAACUAAGGCUGAGGCGUGAUGACGAGGCACUACGGUGCUGAAGCAACAAAUGCCCUGCUUCCAGGAAAAGCCUCUAAGCAUCAGGUAACAUCAAAUCGUACCCCAAACCGACACAGGUGGUCAGGUAGAGAAUACCAAGGCGCUUGAGAGAACUCGGGUGAAGGAACUAGGCAAAAUGGUGCCGUAACUUCGGGAGAAGGCACGCUGAUAUGUAGGUGAAGCGACUUGCUCGUGGAGCUGAAAUCAGUCGAAGAUACCAGCUGGCUGCAACUGUUUAUUAAAAACACAGCACUGUGCAAACACGAAAGUGGACGUAUACGGUGUGACGCCUGCCCGGUGCCGGAAGGUUAAUUGAUGGGGUCAGCGCAAGCGAAGCUCUUGAUCGAAGCCCCGGUAAACGGCGGCCGUAACUAUAACGGUCCUAAGGUAGCGAAAUUCCUUGUCGGGUAAGUUCCGACCUGCACGAAUGGCGUAAUGAUGGCCAGGCUGUCUCCACCCGAGACUCAGUGAAAUUGAACUCGCUGUGAAGAUGCAGUGUACCCGCGGCAAGACGGAAAGACCCCGUGAACCUUUACUAUAGCUUGACACUGAACAUUGAGCCUUGAUGUGUAGGAUAGGUGGGAGGCUUUGAAGUGUGGACGCCAGUCUGCAUGGAGCCGACCUUGAAAUACCACCCUUUAAUGUUUGAUGUUCUAACGUUGACCCGUGAUCCGGGUUGCGGACAGUGUCUGGUGGGUAGUUUGACUGGGGCGGUCUCCUCCUAAAGAGUAACGGAGGAGCACGAAGGUUGGCUAAUCCUGGUCGGACAUCAGGAGGUUAGUGCAAUGGCAUAAGCCAGCUUGACUGCGAGCGUGACGGCGCGAGCAGGUGCGAAAGCAGGUCAUAGUGAUCCGGUGGUUCUGAAUGGAAGGGCCAUCGCUCAACGGAUAAAAGGUACUCCGGGGAUAACAGGCUGAUACCGCCCAAGAGUUCAUAUCGACGGCGGUGUUUGGCACCUCGAUGUCGGCUCAUCACAUCCUGGGGCUGAAGUAGGUCCCAAGGGUAUGGCUGUUCGCCAUUUAAAGUGGUACGCGAGCUGGGUUUAGAACGUCGUGAGACAGUUCGGUCCCUAUCUGCCGUGGGCGCUGGAGAACUGAGGGGGGCUGCUCCUAGUACGAGAGGACCGGAGUGGACGCAUCACUGGUGUUCGGGUUGUCAUGCCAAUGGCACUGCCCGGUAGCUAAAUGCGGAAGAGAUAAGUGCUGAAAGCAUCUAAGCACGAAACUUGCCCCGAGAUGAGUUCUCCCUGACUCCUUGAGAGUCCUGAAGGAACGUUGAAGACGACGACGUUGAUAGGCCGGGUGUGUAAGCGCAGCGAUGCGUUGAGCUAACCGGUACUAAUGAACCGUGAGGC